AGGACUACCUCUACAAGGCCCUGUGUUUGUUCCCUGGCCAGUCCUGUGAGUGGCCAUCCCAGAGGGGCAGUGAGAAAAGAGGGCCUGUGCCUGGAGAUCUGAAGGUGGAACAGGAAAGACCUCGUGCCUUAACAUUUGUUCUACCCCCAAAUCAUUCUUUCCUUUGUAUUGUAGGAUUUUUUUUCUAUUGUUAGGAGUUCCCUCUUAAAAUGUAGCUCCCCACUCCAGUAAACUACAAGUACUAUAUAGCCCUGAGAUAAAAUUGCACAUGUUUUACUCAUUAGAAUAGAAUGGAAUCAAGUUUCUGUUCUGUUAGAAAUAGAAUAGAAUUCUGUGAAGGGGUACAAAUAUAAUGAUGGGCAUGUAGAAGUAUACUUAAUAAUAAAUAUUCAAAAAAAAGUAUGAAGUCCCUACUACUUAAAAGAAUCGUAGGAUGAGGUAACCCUAGCUACUUUGUCCUCUGAUUAAUGUUUUUAUAUGCUUAUGACAUGAACAUUUAUCUGUCGCAGUGGCACGGUAAGAGAGUUUUCUAAGUAGGAGAGUCACACCCCAGCUUUGUGGUUCAUUGACAGCGAGGGAUAAAGGACAGCACCCCUACCUUGAGCCUGAAACAAAGUCAUCAGCUCACACUUGCAGGAGAUGAUGAGUAGCCAGCAAGCGAGGGCCCAAGGGCUUGUUCGAAACAGGACACCCUACGGGGGGUGCAGUGCAGUGGACAGCGAGAGACAGGGAGCGGUUGCCUGGGAGAGUUUCGCAGGCCUGAGUGUCCCGUAGGCUGUCACUUCCUGCGGCCACCUCUGCCCGUGCUCACUUCCGUCUGUGCUCAUCUAGAAGGAGCCUCUUGUGCGCAGUCGCCGUGGACUAAGGGACAAGGGUGCGAGGAGCCUGCGGAGCCCCGUGUGUCAAAACCCCUGUGGGACUUGGCUGCUUCACACCUGGCACGUGGCAUGCCGUUGGAUGAAGACACUGAGGAACAUAGGACGAGUGACUCGCUCGGCUCUCAGGGAAGGAGGGUGACGGCUGUGUUGUGACCCAGCCCAUUUCAGCCACACCAGGGCUCCCACCCACCAUACUCUUUGCCGUUACUCCUCAUUUCACUCUGUCAAGCCUCAGUUUCCCCCAAAAUAAAACCAAGGUGUUAUGGUCUAUGGGUGUAUUUCAGUUCUGCAGUGCAGUGUCUCUGUGAGUAUUGCCAUUCGGCCAUUCAUUCAUUCAUGUCUCCAUUUCUUCAGCAAACCUCGAUGGACUUCUUCCCAUAGGGCUUCGGAGACCAGCUGCUCCAACCGCCCAGCA
Molecule: long non-coding RNA, 1293 nt
Filed under: Fukomys damarensis (Damara mole-rat)
Lineage: Eukaryota; Metazoa; Chordata; Mammalia; Rodentia; Bathyergidae
Description: lncRNA (ENSFDAG00000026802.1)
Source: RNAcentral